Molecule: long non-coding RNA, 1175 nt
Organism: Scylla paramamosain (green mud crab)
Lineage: Eukaryota; Metazoa; Arthropoda; Malacostraca; Decapoda; Portunidae
Exons: 3
Source: RefSeq, a predicted model, not a curated record
UAAUAUAUGCAAGUACAGCUCGGCUCAGUUUUAACUAAUUUCUUGCGGUGUGAAUCCCCACUUCAUCAUGUAUAUGAAAUAUUUCUGCGUUCAGCAGGUCUUUCUGCUGCUUUAAGCUUCAUGUAUCGUCAAAGUAUUUCAAGGCUUCGAAACAGCGAACCAAACCAAGGUGACUCCCUCCUGCACAGGCGACCAGUAGACUCCAAGUAGCCAGCAGUUUACGUGUGUCGGUUUGUGUUUCUUCUCGAACAUUUAUUAGUAGCCGAGGUAAAACAGAGCGGUGAGUGCGCGGCUUGGUGCGGCAGUCCGGGUGACUUAAUUGGCGAGGCGGAGUGCCGCUGGCGUGUGUAGGUGGAGCGAUGACCUUUGCUGGUUGACCUGGAACACACAGCAGCCGAGAGAUGAGUGGAGAAGAUAAGGGGAGGUCUUUGUCCGGUAAUGGAGUCAUAGAGGCUGCUGCUGGCGAUGACGAGACAGACGCAGGCAGUAACCCACAUGGCGGGAAUGAGGUCAAGCUAUUGAGUGAUAAGAAAGGCGACUUUGUGACGGGAAGCAAGAGUGCCGGAAUGAAGCUCGCGCGGGUUACGGCUGGGCAUAACAAUAACGGUGACCGGCGCCGCCCUGGUAAUGGAAGGUAGUUAUUGUAAGUUUAAUGAGGGUAGUUGUAAUAAACAUGACGGUGUCUGUAAUGGUGAUGAGCGUGAUAAAGGUAGUCAUGAUGGUGGUGAUGGCAAUGAUGGUGAUGGUGAUACUCUUUUAUAAUGUUAUGCUAAAAUUUGUAACUACUGCAAUUACGAAAUUUGUGGAUUUAUGGGUGUAAAAUGUAUGGAAUUAAAACGGCUGGUUUACUGAAUCAAGUACAGUAUCUAGGCGAUAGAAGAUAAAUGAUGAUAGGUGAGGCCUUUAUGGGCCAUGGCUCCUGCUCAGGCUCGGUGAAACUCUCUGGUGCACGUGUGGAGGAAGACUUCAGACACCGCUGACAGCGAGAGGAGCGAUCAAGGAGCUGAAACACUGCGGUGCCUGGGGCUGUGCUUGUGUUAAGUAAAAUCGUCUUAUUCACGUUAAAUAACUAAUAUCAUGUUUUCAUUGGCAGUCAUUAUCACAAAACGUUAACUCACGUUCGCAGUUACUUACACAGACCAAGUUUUAAUUUAAGGGACUGCUCUGAGAGAGAG